GACGAACGCUGGCGGCGUGCUUAACACAUGCAAGUCGAGCGGAAAGGCCUGCUUUCCCUUGUGGAUUGCGGGUACUCGAGUGGCGAACGGGUGAGUAACACGUGAGUGAUCUGCCCCCAACUUGGGUAUAAGCCUGGGAAACUGGGUCUAAUUCCCGAUAGGACUGCAGGGUGGUGCCUGUGGUGGAAAACGAUUUUCUAGUGGUUGGGGAUGAGCUCGCGGCCUAUCAGCUUGUUGGUGGGGUAAUGGCCUACCAAGGCGGCGACGGGUAGCCGGCCUGAGAGGGUGGACGGCCACAUUGGGACUGAGAUACGGCCCAGACUCCUACGGGAGGCAGCAGUGGGGAAUAUUGCACAAUGGGCGGGAGCCUGAUGCAGCGACGCCGCGUGGGGGAUGACGGCCUUCGGGUUGUAAACUCCUUUCGACCGCGAGGAAGCCACCUGGUUGGAAGGGUGGUGACGGUAGUGGUAGAAGAAGCACCGGCUAACUACGUG
This 494-nucleotide ribosomal RNA is filed under the name uncultured bacterium. Its description in RNAcentral is "partial 16S ribosomal RNA". It matches the Rfam family "Bacterial small subunit ribosomal RNA", at positions 28 to 507 of the family's 1533-position model. The record is from RNAcentral.